Molecule: small RNA, 78 nt
Filed under: Flavobacterium pectinovorum
Lineage: Bacteria; Pseudomonadati; Bacteroidota; Flavobacteriia; Flavobacteriales; Flavobacteriaceae
Description: Flavo-1 RNA
Rfam family: Flavo-1 RNA
Source: RNAcentral
CCCUAGCCCCGAUAGUAGUGGAAAUCCUUUUGUGCGGGGGUUCCGCACAAAAGAUUGAAACGGAUUGCUUCGCCAAUU